This 465-nucleotide ribosomal RNA is filed under the name Vreelandella stevensii. RNAcentral describes it as "partial 16S ribosomal RNA". It matches the Rfam family "Bacterial small subunit ribosomal RNA", at positions 338 to 795 of the family's 1533-position model. The record is from RNAcentral. Lineage: Bacteria; Pseudomonadati; Pseudomonadota; Gammaproteobacteria; Oceanospirillales; Halomonadaceae.
CCUACGGGAGGCAGCAGUGGGGAAUAUUGGACAAUGGGGGGAACCCUGAUCCAGCCAUGCCGCGUGUGUGAAGAAGGCCCUCGGGUUGUAAAGCACUUUCAGUGAGGAAGAACGCCUGGUGGUUAAUACCCAUCAGGAAAGACAUCACUCACAGAAGAAGCACCGGCUAACUCCGUGCCAGCAGCCGCGGUAAUACGGAGGGUGCGAGCGUUAAUCGGAAUUACUGGGCGUAAAGCGCGCGUAGGUGGCUUGAUAAGCCGGUUGUGAAAGCCCCGGGCUCAACCUGGGAACGGCAUCCGGAACUGUCAAGCUAGAGUGCAGGAGAGGAAGGUAGAAUUCCCGGUGUAGCGGUGAAAUGCGUAGAGAUCGGGAGGAAUACCAGAGGCGAAGGCGGCCUUCUGGACUGACACUGACACUGAGGUGCGAAAGCGUGGGUAGCAAACAGGAUUAGAUACCCGAGUAGUC